Molecule: long non-coding RNA, 398 nt
Filed under: Homo sapiens (human)
Lineage: Eukaryota; Metazoa; Chordata; Mammalia; Primates; Hominidae
Description: HSALNT0276294
Source: RNAcentral
CUUUAGGGUCACAAGGGCCUCUUCCCAGGUAUCAAGUGCUUUCCCACCUAUAGGCUUCUAUUCAUGAGCUGAUGCCUCUCACCCUCUUAUCACAAUUUCAACGUCACCUCCCCUAAGACCUCUGUGCCAACCCCCGUUCCAAGUAGGUUGCUCCUGCAGUUCUCUAUCGCUGUACCUGGUGUGCAUCCUGCCUUUAUUUGUUCACUACCUUACUUCCCAUCUGCUUUUUUUGCUGUACUGUAGACAGAGGCUGUCUGCUGUGCUCCUAGGGUAAGCCCAGCACCUAGCACAAGCAUGAUACGCAACAGACAUUUGACAAGUGUCAGCUGAAUUCAUGGCCAAAUGUAAUUGUACAACCACUAUGGAAAACAGUGUGGAGAUUCCUUAGAGAACUAAAA